This 638-nucleotide long non-coding RNA is filed under the name Citrus sinensis (sweet orange). RNAcentral's name for it is "long non-coding RNA (CSIN_LNC002094)". Lineage: Eukaryota; Viridiplantae; Streptophyta; Magnoliopsida; Sapindales; Rutaceae. The record is from RNAcentral.
AAUAUUAUAAAAAGCUCAACACAAAAAUAAAUUUCAAUUCUUUACCAGGAAGCCAUUAAAUAUAUUACACACACACACACACACACACACACACACACACACAUAUAUAUAUAUAUAUAUAUUAUUCUUUAUCCAAAAUAAAAUUUCCUGGAAUUUUGUUGGACUGCAUAUUGAAGAUUAUGCAUGCAUGUGGAGGAGAUCCCAUUUCAUCAAGCAACCUAAUCCAAAUCUUCAUUUCGUGGAGUGAAAGCCCCCUUUUGAUGGAUCUGCAUGGCCAUCAGCUGAAAAUAGCUGAUACUUGUAGUUUUGGUUGUUUUGAGUGGGAAAAUAUAAAUACAAUACUUGUUUGAUUACGGUCACGAUUUUGAGUGGGAAAAAUAUAAAUACAAUAUUUGUAUGAUUACUUUCACAAAUGAAGUAUCUGGAGCAUAGGGGAGUAAGAACAUAACAAAAUAUAAAGGGCGUGUUGCGAAUCCAAUUGGCAAGUAUCUAAAGUAUUCUCUAUCUCAUUUCUCAAUCUUUAAAUUGAAUGUGAUUAAAAAUGUCGAUGGUUAUUUAUAGCCCAUUAAACAUAUCAAUGCGUCAUACAUUUAGCAACACACUCUUCGAAUUUUAAAAGAAAAAGUGUUGUGUGCAUA